UGGGAAUCCAACUCUUUAACAGUGUAAAAAACUCAGUAUGCAUGAAAUAGCAUUUCACCCCCCCCCCCCCCCCCCCUUAAACUUUCCUCCACUUAAUUUUUGACAAUACUCUUGAUUACUUGAUUUCAUAGACAUUAUUUUAAGAGAACUGAACAGAACUGGACGAUGACGUCAAUAAAUCAAAAAUUGACUUUAUAAUUGACUUUUUAGAGCUAAUUUACAAUAGAAUUUAAUUUUGUUUGCAUUAUUUACAAACUAUUUUCCUGUUUAACACUGAAAAGCUGUUUUGACACAAUCUGUAUUGUAUAAAGUGUUAUAAAAAAGUGACUUGACUUGACUAAACUGUAAACACAAAACAUAUUUAUAUAGGAUGGAGGGACUUUUCUGAAGUGUUAUUUUUUUCCUUUGCUAUUUGUUUCAGUAGGAAAAGAUCAGUCUCAGAAACAUCCAGCUCUGUGUCUGUGGAGAGUGAUCAUUCAAUAGGUGGUGUACCAGACUUAAGUAUGGAAACAACAUCCCCUGCAAAAAGUAUGAAAAGAUCAAUCUCAGAAACAUUCAGCUCUGUGUCUGUGAAGAGUGAUCAUUCAAUAGGUGGUGUACCAGACUUAAGUAUGGAAACAACAUCCUCUGCAGAAAGGUAAUUUCAUUUGUCUGAUAAGCUGCUUCACUCUUUAAUGAGCUCAACCCGGAGUUUCUUUCCAGUAAUACAAUUGCAACUAAACCAAAAUACAUUAAUCCAUCAAUAGUUGUAAAAAGUAAAAAUUCACAGAUAUGUGUUUAAUUAGCAUUUGUAGCAUUAACUUAUAGGGCCCUAUCAUACACCCGACACAAUGCGACGCACGGCGCAGCACAAGUAUGUUUGCUAGUUUCAGUCCAUCGCUGUUUGCAUUUUCCCAUCCAGCACCAC
This 907-nucleotide long non-coding RNA is filed under the name Carassius auratus (goldfish). RNAcentral describes it as "lncRNA (ENSCARG00000036244.1)". Lineage: Eukaryota; Metazoa; Chordata; Actinopteri; Cypriniformes; Cyprinidae. The record is from RNAcentral.